GCCGCGUGAGUGAUGAAGGCUUUAGGGUCGUAAAACUCUGUUGUUGGAGAAGAACGUGUGUGAGAGUAACUGCUCAUGCAGUGACGGUAUCCAACCAGAAAGCCACGGCUAACUACGUGCCAGCAGCCGCGGUAAUACGUAGGUGGCAAGCGUUAUCCGGAUUUAUUGGGCGUAAAGCGAGCGCAGGCGGUUUUUUAAGUCUAAUGUGAAAGCCUUCGGCUUAACCGAAGAAGUGCAUUGGAAACUGGGAAACUUGAGUGCAGAAGAGGACAGUGGAACUCCAUGUGUAGCGGUGAAAUGCGUAGAUAUAUGGAAGAACACCAGUGGCGAAGGCGGCUGUCUGGUCUGUAACUGACGCUGAGGCUCGAAAGCAUGGGUAGCGAACAGGAUUA
RNAcentral lists this ribosomal RNA (392 nucleotides) under Pediococcus damnosus. RNAcentral's name for it is "bacterial SSU rRNA". It matches the Rfam family "Bacterial small subunit ribosomal RNA", at positions 396 to 780 of the family's 1533-position model. The record is from RNAcentral. Lineage: Bacteria; Bacillati; Bacillota; Bacilli; Lactobacillales; Lactobacillaceae.